Molecule: ribosomal RNA, 467 nt
Filed under: uncultured bacterium
Lineage: Bacteria
Description: partial 16S ribosomal RNA
Rfam family: Bacterial small subunit ribosomal RNA
Source: RNAcentral
GACGAACGCUGGCGGCGUGCUUAACACAUGCAAGUCGAACGGAAAGGCCCUGCUUUUGUGGGUGCUCGAGUGGCGAACGGGUGAGUAACACGUGAGUAACCUGCCCUUGACUUUGGGAUAACUUCAGGAAACUGGGGCUAAUACCGGAUAGGAGCUCCUGCUGCAUGGUGGGGGUUGGAAAGUUUCGGCGGUUGGGGAUGGACUCGCGGCUUAUCAGCUUGUUGGUGGGGUAGUGGCUUACCAAGGCUUUGACGGGUAGCCGGCCUGAGAGGGUGACCGGCCACAUUGGGACUGAGAUACGGCCCAGACUCCUACGGGAGGCAGCAGUGGGGAAUAUUGCACAAAGGGCGGAAGCCUGAUGCAGCAACGCCGCGUGCGGGAUGACGGCCUUCGGGUUGUAAACCGCUUUCGCCUGUGACGAAGCGUGAGUGACGGUAAUGGGUAAAGAAGCACCGGCUAACUACGUG